AAGAUCCCUUAGAGUCGGCACCAGAUCCUCCACAGGAAGCCGAAGACGAGGUCCCAACAAAGCUCGUUGGCUACUUCUUCCUGGCGUGGUUCAUACUCUCUGUUGUGUUCUCGGUGACCCUCAACAGAUGAGGGACAUCUCGCCCCAUG
Panicum hallii is the source of this 149-nucleotide long non-coding RNA. RefSeq lists it as uncharacterized. Lineage: Eukaryota; Viridiplantae; Streptophyta; Magnoliopsida; Poales; Poaceae. The transcript has 2 exons. The record is from RefSeq and is a predicted model, not a curated record.